This 632-nucleotide ribosomal RNA is filed under the name uncultured fungus. RNAcentral's name for it is "eukaryotic LSU rRNA". The stretch from base 206 to 359 matches the Rfam family "5.8S ribosomal RNA". The record is from RNAcentral. Lineage: Eukaryota; Fungi.
AGUCGUAACAAGGUUUCCGUAGGUGAACCUGCGGAAGGAUCAUUAGUGAAUCUAGGACGUCCAACUUAACUUGGAGUCCGAACUCUCACUUUCUAACCCUGUGCAUCUGUUUUAAAAUUGGCUAGUAGCUCUUCGGAGCGAACCACCAUUUUUCACUUAUACAAACACAAAGUCUAUGAAUGUAAACAAAUUUAUAACAAAACAAAACUUUCAACAACGGAUCUCUUGGCUCUCGCAUCGAUGAAGAACGCAGCGAAAUGCGAUACGUAAUGUGAAUUGCAGAAUUCAGUGAAUCAUCGAAUCUUUGAACGCACCUUGCGCUCCUUGGUAUUCCGAGGAGCAUGCCUGUUUGAGUGUCAUGAAAUCUUCAACCCACCUCUUUCUUAGUGAAUCUGGUGGUGCUUGGUUUCUGAGCGCUGCUCUGCUUCGGCUUAGCUCGUUCGUAAUGCAUUAGCAUCCGCAACCGAAACUUCGGAUUGACUUGGCGUAAUAGACUAUUCGCUGAGGAUUCCAGACUUGUUCUGGAGCCGAGUUGGGUUAAAGGAAGCUUCUAAUCCUAAAGUCUAUUUUUUGAUUAGAUCUCAAAUCAGGUAGGACUACCCGCUGAACUUAAGCAUAUCAAUAAAAAGUCG